Hyla sarda is the source of this 192-nucleotide small nuclear RNA. RefSeq annotates it as U2 spliceosomal RNA. The transcript has a single exon. NCBI's taxonomy places the organism in Eukaryota, Metazoa, Chordata, Amphibia, Anura, Hylidae. The record is from RefSeq and is a predicted model, not a curated record.
AUUGCUUCUCUGCCUUUUGGGCUGAGAUCAAGUGUAGCAUCUAUUCUCAUCAAUUUAACAUCCGAUAUGUCCCCUUGCUGGGGAACAUAUGUUAAUUGGAUUUUUGAGCAUGUGGGCCGAUUUCGAAGCUUGUUUCCGUCGUCCUAUGCUUUGACCCGAUAUGGCAGUAUUUUCAGGUACAAAAAAAAUAUC